Molecule: ribosomal RNA, 499 nt
Filed under: uncultured bacterium
Lineage: Bacteria
Description: partial 16S ribosomal RNA
Rfam family: Bacterial small subunit ribosomal RNA
Source: RNAcentral
GACGAACGCUGGCGGCGUGCUUAACGCAUGCAAGUCGAACGGGCCCGCUCUCUUUUUUGGGGGUGGGUUGAGUGGCGAACGGGUGAGUAUCACGUGAGUAACCUGCCCCCUGCUCCUGGAUAACUGCUUGAAAGGGCGGCUAAUACGGGGUGUGCCGGCUGGUCCGCAUGGGCCUGGUCGGGAUAGUUUCAUCUUCGGGUGUUUCGGUGGGGGAUGGGCUCGCGGCCUAUCAGCUUGUUGGUGGGGUGAUGGCCCACCAAGGCGGUGACGGGUAGCCGGCCUGAGAGGGUGGGCGGCCACACUGGGACUGAGACACGGCCCAGACUCCUGCGGGAGGCAGCAGUGGGGGGUAUUGCACAAUGGGCGGAAGCCUGAUGCAGCGACGUCGCGUGAGGGAUGGAGGCCUUCGGGUUGUGAACCUCUUUCUCCGGUGGUGAAGGCCCUGUCCGUUGCGGCGGGGUUGACGGUAGCCGGGUAUGAAGCGCCGGCUAACUACGUG